This 935-nucleotide ribosomal RNA is filed under the name Inocybe sindonia. Its description in RNAcentral is "partial large subunit ribosomal RNA". It matches the Rfam family "Eukaryotic large subunit ribosomal RNA", at positions 34 to 954 of the family's 3401-position model. Lineage: Eukaryota; Fungi; Basidiomycota; Agaricomycetes; Agaricales; Inocybaceae. The record is from RNAcentral.
UUAAGCAUAUCAAUAAGCGGAGGAAAAGAAACUAACAAGGAUUCCCCUAGUAACUGCGAGUGAAGCGGGAAGAGCUCAAAUUUGAAAUCUGGCGGUUCUUGAACUGUCCGAGUUGUAAUCUAGAGAAGUGUUACCUGUGCUGGACCGUGUACAAGUCUCCUGGAAUGGAGCAUCACAGAGGGUGAGAAUCCCGUCUUUGACACGGACUACCUGUGCGAUAUGGUGCGCUCUCGAAGAGUCGAGUUGUUUGGGAAUGCAGCUCAAAAUGGGUGGUAAAUGCCAUCUAAAGCUAAAUAUUGGCGAGAGACCGAUAGCGAACAAGUACCGUGAGGGAAAGAUGAAAAGAACUUUGGAAAGAGAGUUAAACAGUACGUGAAAUUGCUGAAAGGGAAACGCUUGAAGUCAGUCACGUCGGCUAGAAAUCAACCUGCUUUUGCUUGGUGUACUUUCUGGUUGAUGGGUCAGCAUCAAUUUUGACCAUCGGAUAAAGUCAUUGGGAAUGUGGCAUCUUCGGAUGUGUUAUAGCCCGUUGUCGCAUACGUUGGUUGGGAUUGAGGAACUCAGCACGCCGCAAGGCCGGGGGUCUUUCCCUACGUUCGUGCUUAGGAUGCUGGCAUAAUGGCUUUAAUCGACCCGUCUUGAAACACGGACCAAGGAGUCUAACAUGCCUGCGAGUGUUUGGGUGGAAAACCCAUGCGCGCAAUGAAAGUGAAAGUUGAGAUCCCUUUCUGGGGAGCAUUGACGCCCGGACCAGAGCUUUUGUGACGGAUCCGCGGUAGAGCAUGUAUGUUGGGACCCGAAAGAUGGUGAACUAUGCCUGAAUAGGGUGAAGCCAGAGGAAACUCUGGUGGAGGCUCGUAGCGAUUCUGACGUGCAAAUCGAUCGUCAAAUUUGGGUAUAGGGGCGAAAGACUAAUCGAACCAUCUAGUAGCUGG